AAACAGUUGCACAGGGCAGGAGAUAAGCCAGGACAGAAACACUGUCUCACGCUCUGCAAAGACACCCAAUUAAACUGGCUGUUUACACCUUCCUGCCAGAUUCCUGUCUCCCAGCUGAAGAGAGCUGAGCAGCUAAUGAGGCACAGCACAGGAACCAGCAGGGGAAAGGCGAGAGAUUUCGGAAGAAUUGCAGACUCAGCCCGUGCUGGUGGUGAAGCAGAGGGAGAUUGGGCUGUGCCAAGGACUUGAUGACUGUGGUGACCGCUUGAGGAAAAGCUAUGCCCACCAACCGCUGGAGAAAGACUCCUGGUGGAGGUCAGAAAUCACAUCUCCCUAAUCUGUGAACUUCUGAAGCAGGAAGCCCAGCAUUGCUUCUUUGCUGAGGAUGAUAAGGUGAGACUGUCUUCUCCUGUCAUUUUGAGCAGGACAACCUAUGUUUUCAUGGUACUGACUUAAACCGCUAGCAUCUUACACAACAGUAGAUUGUCUGUUGUAAUACAAACGCAUGCUUGUUUGCCAGCUUUCUUAGUGUCCAGUGGGUAAGGCAAAAUUUAUGUUGAUCUUUUUAUAAAA
This is a long non-coding RNA of Egretta garzetta (little egret), 573 nucleotides long. RefSeq lists it as uncharacterized. The record is from RefSeq and is a predicted model, not a curated record. The transcript is spliced from 3 exons. Lineage: Eukaryota; Metazoa; Chordata; Aves; Pelecaniformes; Ardeidae.